This 492-nucleotide ribosomal RNA is filed under the name uncultured bacterium. RNAcentral describes it as "partial 16S ribosomal RNA". It matches the Rfam family "Bacterial small subunit ribosomal RNA", at positions 29 to 507 of the family's 1533-position model. The record is from RNAcentral.
AGUGAACGCUGGCGGUGGGCCUAACACAUGCAAGUCGAACGGCAGCACAGUAAGAGCUUGCUCUUACGGGUGGCGAGUGGCGGACGGGUGAGGAAUACAUCGGAAUCUACUUUUUCGUGGGGGAUAACGUAGGGAAACUUACGCUAAUACCGCAUACGACCUACGGGUGAAAGCAGGGGAUCUUCGGACCUUGCGCGAUUGAAUGAGCCGAUGUCGGAUUAGCUAGUUGGUGGGGUAAAGGCCCACCAAGGCGACGAUCCGUAGCUGGUUUGAGAGGAUGAUCAGCCACACUGGAACUGCGACACGGUCCAGACUCCUACGGGAGGCAGCAGUGGGGAAUAUUGGACAAUGGGCGCAAGCCUGAUCCAGCCAUACCGCGUGGGUGAAGAAGGCCUUCGGGUUGUAAAGCCCUUUUGUUGGGAAAGAAAAGCAGCAGGUUAAUACCCCGCUGUUCUGACGGUACCCAAAGAAUAAGCACCGGCUAACUUCGUG